RNAcentral lists this ribosomal RNA (471 nucleotides) under uncultured bacterium. Its description in RNAcentral is "bacterial SSU rRNA". It matches the Rfam family "Bacterial small subunit ribosomal RNA", at positions 60 to 546 of the family's 1533-position model. The record is from RNAcentral.
AGUCGAACGGAUUCAGAUAUUCGUAUUUGGAUUAGUGGCGGACGGGUGAGUACGCGUGAGCAACCUGCCUUACAGAGGGGGAUAACAUCUGGAAACAGAUGCUAAUACCGCAUAACGUAUAAUGAUGACAUCAUUGAUAUACCAAAGGAGCAAUCCGCUGUAAGAUGGGCUCGCGUCCGAUCAGAUAGUUGGUGAGGUAAUGGCUCACCAAGUCGGCGAUCGGUAGCCGGACUGAGAGGUUGAACGGCCACAUUGGGACUGAGACACGGCCCAGACUCCUACGGGAGGCAGCAGUGGGGGAUAUUGCACAAUGGGCGAAAGCCUGAUGCAGCAACGCCGCGUGAGGGAAGACGGUCUUCGGAUUGUAAACCUUUAACUUUGGAGAAGAAAGAAAUGACGGUAUCCAAAGGGGCAGCCACGGCUAACUACGUGCCAGCAGCCGCGGUAAUACGUAGGUGGCGAGCGUUGUCC